Molecule: ribosomal RNA, 250 nt
Filed under: uncultured prokaryote
Description: partial 16S ribosomal RNA
Rfam family: Bacterial small subunit ribosomal RNA
Source: RNAcentral
UACGUAAGGGGCAAGCGUUAUCCGGAUUUACUGGGUGUAACGGGAGCGUAGACGGGUAGGCAAGUUUGAAGUGAAAACCCAAGGCUUAACCAUGGAAUUGCUUUGAAAACUGCUUACCUAGAGUACUGGAGAGGUAAGUGGAAUUCCUAGUGUAGUAGUGAAAUGCGUAGAUAUUAGGAAGAACACCGGAGGCGAAGGCGGCUUACUGGACAGAAACUGACGUUGAGGCUCGAAAGCGUGGGGAGCAAAC